GACGAACGCUGGCGGCGUGGAUUAGGCAUGCAAGUCGAACGGUAUCAUCCUUUCGGGGGUGAGAGAGUGGCGAACUGGUGAGUAACACGUAGGUUAUCUACCCUCAAGACGGGGACAACCCAGGGAAACUUGGGCUAAUACCGGAUGUGAGCAACUUUUAGUUGUUUGAAAGGUGGCGUAAGCUGUCGCUUGGGGAUGAGCCUGCGUCCUAUUAGUUAGUUGGUGAGGUAACGGCUCACCUAGGCAAUGAUAGGUAGGCGGCCUUAACGGGUGGUCGCCCACAUUGGGAUUGAGAUACGGCCCAGACUCCUACGGGAGGCAGCAGUCGAGAAUAGUCUACAAUGGUCGGAAGACUGAUAGUGCGACGCCGCGUGAACGAUGAAUCCCUUCGGGGUGUAAAGUUCUUUUAUAUGUGAGCAGUGCUUCUUAUAUUAACAGUAUGGGGAGAGAGAUAUUAGCAUAUGAAUAAGCAACGGCUAACUCCGUGCCAGCAGCCGCGGUAAA
RNAcentral lists this ribosomal RNA (504 nucleotides) under uncultured bacterium. RNAcentral's name for it is "bacterial SSU rRNA". It matches the Rfam family "Bacterial small subunit ribosomal RNA", at positions 28 to 524 of the family's 1533-position model. The record is from RNAcentral.